CUUUCCUACGCUAAAAACCACUGAGUGGAGUAUUUAGUACACAGGAAGUCGGCCAGAGAAACAUUUCUCAUAUUUGAAGGCCGGAAAGAGGGACAUUUCUGACACCGGAAGUCAGUGAGAGGACUCUUUCCCACACAGGAAGUCAGCUAGAGAGCCGUCUCCCCUCUCUGGAGCCGAGAGAGGCCGGUUUCCCCCACCAUAGCAGGGCUGGGAGAAAGGGAUGGGGAGAGUCCCUCCUGCCACUGACCCAGGAUGGAUAAAAGUACCCCUUUCAUAGAAGGAAGAAAAUGGGAACAAAGGUGCUGCUGAUCAUCUGAGGUUGCCUGCAUGGCAGUGAAGAACAUGGACCUUUGGGUAGCCCACCUGGGAGGAAUUUUCCAGAGAUCACUGUCUGAUGACCCUGUCUUGGAAUUGGAGCCAUGCAAGUUACACUGACCACGUUUGGGUUGGGAUAUUGAGGAGGUUAUGGUUAAAAGCAUACGAUGGGAGAUCAUAUUGUACUUGCGAGUGAGACCCGGCUGGAGGAAUGUUUUAAUUCUUCGGAAAUACCAAGUGGUCUCUAGAUGGGUUUUCACUAUUUUUCCCAGGCUAGUCUCCAACUUCUGGGCUCAAGCGAUCCACCCGCCUUGGCCUCCUAAGUCCUAGGAUUAUAGACAGAACACUGAAGAUUCUGCUCUCAGGGUGUUGAUUGACGUCUGGAAGGCAGAGACUCGUGGAUUAGCAAGCAUGUGUAAGAAAGUGCUCUGGAUGCCACAGGGUGGUAAUUUGUGCAUGGAAAAUGGCUGGGGUGAAGAGGAGACUAGGCUUUAUCUUGUCAGGUGGUCUCUGUGGUUCCAGUACCCAUGAGGGAGCUGAGUCUGAAGGACCUUGGAGCUUUGCAGAUAUAAAGAAAAAGCUGAUUUAAGCUUCCCCAGUUUUCCCUGCCCCCUUCAUGAAAGAAUUACAGCAUAUAAUAAGAAAAAUCUGGAGAAACACUUAUUUUUAUGGAGGGCUGGAGGACCCCAAGGUCAAACAGUGAAUGGGACUGAACAAAAGGUAAGGAUGUGACUCACCCAUUCAGUAAAACUUGUUGAUGCCACAGUGAAAUUUCCCGCCUAGUGCACUAGCUAGAAAUGCAAAAGGCACUCACCGUGGAGUGUAAUAAGUGGGGGUUAAACACAUGCUAUGGAGGAGAACAGAAGGGGAACCCACACUGGUGACACCAGGCAUGGCUUCCUGAAGAAAGUGGCCUCUAAGCUGAUACUUGUAGGAUGUGGAGGAGCUAGCCAGGAGAGUGGGCAAUGGAGUUGAAAGAAACUUCUUGUCAGAGGGGAAAAGCAUGUGCAAAGGUCCUGAGGUGAGAGAGAGCAUGUCCACUCAGGGAAGUGAAGGAAGUCCAGUCUGGUGAGAGUGUUAAGUCUGAGAGAAAGACUAGAUAGAACGAGGCUCGGAGGUCUCCUAAUUUUCAUCCCCUGAACUUUAUGCAGUUGUAAUUUUAAGGUCAUUUGUGACAUUAUUCAGUGUUUCCCUCACUGAAUUGUGAGCUCAUAAGGGCAGUAGUUGUGUCUGUCUUGGUCAAAGCUGAAUCCCCAGGACCUAGCAUGGUGCUUAGCAGCUAUAAAUAGUGUUGAAUGAAUGAACGAGUAAGGUUAGAGAGGCAGGCAUGAGCCAGAUCCUGAAUUGAUUUGAAUGCCAUGGUAAAUUGCUGAGCUUCUUUCCACUGUGGGUGGCCGGGAGCUGGACUGGGCUCUAUUUCAGGCUACAAGAGGAUCAAGUAGACAUUUGGUGGUGGAGUGGGGCCAUGAAAAAAAAAAAAAAAAACACUUUGAUAGGACACCCUUAGCAGACAGGGACUAUCACAGGAGUCCUAUAUUUAGAGCUUAAAUAACCAAGAGUGGCUGGCUCUUGCCUGCCGUGGCAUUUACUGAUUAUGGUCACUCCCUGGCUAAAAUUCAGGGCAUGUGCCUGUCUCUGAGGCCCACCAGGUGUCUCUUUCAGCCCUGAUGGGCUGUUUGUUGAGGGUACAGCCUGUGUGUUUCAUCUUGAGCUGUCGUCCACAGUGUCCUAAGGCCACUAGAAGUGCUAACCCAGAGUCCAUUCCAAGUCAUGUCGAAUUUAUCUCUUGGGGUGACUGGGCAGUUGGAGGAAACACCCUGUAUUGUAAUUGGCUUUGGACACUGAGCAUGGUGCCUGGCACAGAGUAGGCACUCAGCAAAUUCUUUCUGAAUUAUGAGUGAAUGCCUGCUAUAAAUGAAUCCUUAGAUAUCAUUAAAUUCCAACAUGCAACGGACAGAUGAGGAAGUCGAGGCCCAGAGAAGAGCCUUGAUCAGGGUCCCACUGCGAAUGGUCAGGGAACACAAGUCUAGAGCCCCUGACCCGUGUCCUUUGUCCUAUUGUGAUUGUAAAUGGUAAAAGUAAAAGUAGAUGGGCAUCUCCUGCCAGUGAGUUCUAUCUAAUCCCUCCCAUUCCAUCUAGUUUAUCCAGUCUCAUCAUGUACUAUCCAAGUCACCCCACUCUAUCCCACUACACCCCAAACUACCCACCCCUCCCCAUCCCAUCCCACCAUAUCCUGUCCCAUCUCACUUAACCCCUCCCCAUCCCACCCCCACCUCAUCCCAUCGCAUCUCACCCCAUCUCAUCCCACCCCAUCCAUCCCAUCCCACCCAUCCCACCCCAUCCCCUCUCACCUCCUCCCACUCCACUCCAUCAAUUCCCAUCCCAUCUCAUCUCAUCCCACUCCGCUCCAUCCAUUCCCAUCCCAUCUCAUCUCAUCCCAUCCCAUCCCAUCUCAUCCCAUCCCAUCCAAUCCCAUCUCAUCCCAUCUCAUCCCAUCCCAUCCCAUCCCACCAUAUCUGUCCCAUCUCACUUCACCCCCCCAUCCCACCCCCACCUCAUCCCAUCCCAUCUCACCCCAUCUCAUCCCACCCCAUCCAUCCCAUCCCACCCCAUCGCCUCUCAUCUCCUCCCACUCCACCCCUCUCAUCUCCUCCCACUCCACUCUAUCCCAUCCCAUCCCAUCCCAUCCCAUCCCAUCCCAUCCUAUCCCACCCCAUGUUUCUCCACUCUACUUCAUCCCAUGCUGUCCCACCCCUACUUUCAUCUUCACUCCCCUUCCCCUUAUUUCUUCCCUGUUCCUUUCCCUCACAUUUCCCCCAUCCCAUUCCAAACAUUUCCAUCCUUUCCCAUCCCUUUUCCUUCCACUCCAUCCCUUUCCAUCCCAUUCAGUCUCACUCCAUCCUUCCCUUUCCACCUCAACCCUUGACAUCCCUCCCCACCUCAUUUCAUCCUAUCCCAUGCCUUCUCAUCCCACCCCCUCUCAUCCCAGCCCUCCCCUUCCCACCCCACCCCAUCCCAUCCCACCCCAUAUCCUUUCAAUCCUGCAACUAUCCCAUUCCACACCAUCUCACCCCACUCCAUUCUUUUCUGCUUCGCUCUACUCCAUUCCAUUCCAUUUCACUCCACUUUAUUCCACCCUUCCCAUUUCAUCUUAUUCUAUUGUAUUAUAUUUUUUGUACCAUCUCGUUCCAUUUGAAUCCACUCCAUUCCAUUCUACUCCAUUGCAUUUUAUUCCAUACAUUCCAUCAUUUCCACUUCAUCCCUUCCAUUCUACCACAAUCAAUGUCAUCCCUAUUCAUCCCAUUCAUAUCUUUCAUGCUUAGAAGUAUUUACCGUGUGCCUCCAAGAUGCCAAACCCUGAAUUUCUCAGGAUGAAAAGCAGGCUUUGAUUUUGGAGACAAAGAACACGUUGCUUGACAAGGUGUCUGAUCCAUCUCUCUGCUGCAUCCUUCAGCUUAGCCUGUCAAUAAACCCAGGAGCAAAAGGAUCUUAUGAUUGUCCAUUCACUGAUAAGCAGAACUUUGGUUCCCAUUUGGGUAUAAUUUUGGGGUUGUAUUGCAGGGAGUCUCAGCAGAAGAGUGAGUGGGUAGUCAUCAAAUCCUUUCCUAAACUUUAUCCCUCAUUCUUGAGGAAUGCUCAGGCCAGUUUCUCACUUGCAUUCCUGUUCUCCUGUGGGGAUGGGGAGCUUUCCAGAUCCUAGAGUCUCAGGAGGGACCCAGAUGGUCUGCUGAGCUGUGUGUGAUUUCCUCCCCUAAUGGCCUUUGCCCAACCCCGGUUGGGUUUCUUCUCCCCACAGGCUGCCCUUUUCCCUCCAUCCCACUUUUCCUGCAGCACAUUCUCUGCCUGGAAGCUUGUUGGCCAUGCUCAGAUGGGAUUCCCUCACACGUGCACCCAAUCCAUCCUCAAGUCCACUCUGCCUCAUUAAAGGCUGGGUAUUUACAUGAGCUGCUGCUGUGUUUCUAGCACGCCCCCUGUGCUUGGACCCCAAGCUCGUCCGGAAGACCCCCUAAGAUGCAGUGGCUCUCUGCCUUCUCUUGGCUGCCCCCUCUUCCCCAGCCUUCCCCAGGUCGUCUCCUGCUUGCCCUUGAGUCUCCUGGGCUUGGGAAGGGGAAAGCACCUGGCACAUAAUUGCUGCUUAAUAAACGAAUCCAUCCUCAUUAGGGCUUGAUUGGUCAUUAGCCUCAUUAUCCAGCAGCAGAGGGCUGGGGAAGUUUUCAGAAUGCCGGUGCAGAGGGAGACCAGUCGGGGCGUGGACUCUAAUCUCUAUUUUGUGGACAGGACAACAUCCAGAGGUGUCCAGAAAGAAGGUGGCCUUGACCAGAAUUCCUCAGCCUUGGCUGCACAUGAGAACCAGUGAGGGAGCCCUAAAAACGCUGAUGCCCAGGCUCCACCCAGACCUAUAGGUGCAGAACCUCUAGGGGAGGGCCCAGCCAUCGCGCUUUGAAAAAUCUCCUCAGGUCUCACAUGAGUACUUCACAAUGGGGAAACUGAACUGGAACUCUACUGACAACGCAGUUGGGAGUUCAAACUUAAUAACCUUCCAGAGUUGGUAUCAAAUUCAGACGCUGACGCUCCUUGGAGAGGUUCUUUGCUGCAAGAGGAUGGAAAGGAUCACUGUGAUUUUGUUUUUCUCCUGCUGCUCUGUCUGGAAGCCAUGUGAGGAGGACAUCUGAGCAGCCCUGUGGAGAGGCCCCCAGCCAACAGCCAGCAUGAACUUGCUGGGCAUGUGAGUGCACCACCUUGAAAGUAGAGCCUCAACCCCUGGUCAAGCCAUCAGGGAGAGCUCAAGCUGGCCUGUUGGAAGAUGACAGGCCAUAUGCAACAGACGUGAAGUGUCCCAGCUGAUCCCCUUCCAGAACACCCACCUUCCAGAUGACCACAGAUGCAAGGGUGAGCCAGCCAAUAGCUGCUGAGACAUUCCCAGAAAGACAGAACAUCCAGCUGACCCAUGGACUCAUGGGCGAUCAUGGAUAAAUGGAUAUUGUUUCAAGCUACUAGGUUUGGGGUUGGUUUGUUACGCAGCAAUAGCUAACAGCUACACCUCUAUUUUAAGGAGUUGUGAAGAUAAAUUGCAAAGGUACAGAAAAAUGAAUAGCUAUAACAGCUACUAGUGAUUGAGUGCUGGCUCUGCCUGGUACUGUGCUCAGGAUUGGCAUGCAUUAUCUCAAAGAGUUGCACAGGCUAGAAGGGCUGCAGCUGAAGAUUCUAGAAGAGUUCAGGUAUAAUGCCUGGCACAUGGUACCUGUUUCAUGUAUGCUAGUUGUUGGAUGCUGCUGAUGCUGGCAGCACGUGGAACUCCUGACACAUGCCUCUGAUUUGGUAGUGGGGUCUGAACUUUGUAAUCUGUGUGUCCAGAGACCUUGGGAAGUCUUCAGCCAAGGGCAGACCAGGAGGUAGCUUUUGUGAUCUGAGUGCAGAGAAGUUUCUUAGAGUGAAUGGCAUCCAGAUAGGGUGGGGAAAAAGCAUUAGCCAGGGUGCUCCACACACUCCCCUCACUAGUGUGGUCCCUGGACCAGCAGCCUCAGCCUCCCCUGGGCCCUUAUUAGAAAUGCAGAAUCUCAGGUCCUACCCCUGCUUACUGAAUCAGUAAGAGCAUUUUAACAAGAUCCCCAGGGGAUUUGUGUGCAUGUUAGAGUUUGUCCAGAACACUCUUCUCAAGCUAUCUGUGCUGAGACACCAGUAUUUUUUUCAAAUUCCAAUUUAUUGCAGAAUGACAGUUUUAAAAAAUGCAGUAAAAAAGCAAAUUCCUAGAAAAAUUAAAUGAAAAAUAAAAUAUACAAAAUCUAAGCCCUUUUUUCAUUAUUAUAUUCAAUGAUACAAAAUUGCCAUCUGCCAAAUUGCUACAAAACUUUCUGAAUACUUUUCUUUCUCUGUACGUAUUCUUUGUGGGUACCUUACUGUGGACAGGUAACAAACGACUUGCCAUGUGGCAUGGGCUAUGGACUGCCCGACAAGUAGCACCAUCUUAGAGUUACCAAUGAUAAUGAUACUAAUACAAUAUGACCACACAUGAUUGUGUGCUUGAUAUCAGCUCAUAAUAAGGGCUUACAAGCUUAAAUACCUGGAAAUCCUCUCAGCAAACUGUGGGGCAACUAAUGUAUUUAUCUCCAUUUUGUAGAUUAGGUCAUCGAGGCCCAGAGAGGUUAAGCAACUUGCCCAUGGUCACACAGCAUACAAGUGGAGCACCCUGAGCCCACCUGUUUGACCACUACAAGGCAGAGGGAGGGAGAGGAAGGCACCACCAGUGAGAGGCACAAGGACAUUGUCCAUUGUCUCUUGUACCCUAUGUGAGUGACAGCUGUCAAAAAACCAGGUGUGGGGCCCUGGCUGUCUCUGUAACCGCAUUGCAGUGGAGGCUGGAGCCCAGCAAACUCUUUACCAGCCCCAGGCUAGGGCUAGGAGGAUCACCCUCGCACCUCACUCUUUGGUGCAGCCUGCAGGAAAGGAAGCCCUCUGUGAAGUGUAUCACCCCAGCCUGCCGCGUUGCCAGAGGUGAGGGGAAAAGGGCGCCUGCCGAUCGCCUUCUCCCUCUUGCUAUCUCUUUUUCCUGAAGUCAUAGGAGCCAGGCAGGAGGCUGGGGGUCUGGCAGGCUGGGUGAUAGCUAGUUAUCGACAGGUUGAUGGCUGCCCCAGAAGACUGCCCGAGGACAUCAAGGCGGAAGCCACUUCUGAGGCCCGCUGCUCCCAGAGAGCCGGCUGCCGGCAUCUCUGCCCAGGGCUUGGCGCUUCCCCUCACCAUCUCAUUAAUCCUGAUUCACAGAAAAAGGCAGCAGGCAGGGGCCCUCUUAACAGGCCGAGCGGGCGACUGAUUUGCCUUCACUGAAGACAAUAGUGCCCAGGAGACCCGGCAUUGCUGAAUUAUUCAAAUCAGCCGUGGCAGGGAAAUCUGAGGACACAGAGUGGCUGACAUCCCCCGGCCCUUGCAAGCUGCCCUCCUUCCCUGCCCUGGGGUGCUGGUACCUGGCAGCCUGGGGUGGCCAGCACAGAUCCCCUUGCCAGAGAUGAGGGCUGCUCCCGACCUUCCCUCCUCCGUGGAUGGAAGUUGAAAUUGGUGUUGAUCAUCUCUAAGCACCUUGGAGCUCUAGUAAUGGAUCCAAAAUGACAUUUCCCACCUGCUGAUCCCUGGAGGGACAUUCUGACAAGGACUUCUGGAUGAACAAGUGAUGGGGCAUGGGAAGAUGAAGGCAGCAGGAGAUGGCUGUUCUGCCAAGGUGUGUGUGUGUGUGCGUGUGUGUGUGCAUGAUUCAAAAAAAGCAGAGGAUAUCGGUUGAACCCUGGCUUGGCCAACCUUAGUUUUCUGCUCCUAGAAAAGAAACACAAUGAAUAGGCAGGUAUCCCUGGCAAAUGUGGAGAUUCAGGAGCAAAACCACCCAGAGUCGGUGCUGACGCUGGGUGAAGACAGAGCAAACAGAAGUUUGAGAGGUCACGUGCAACAGACGUGAGCCCAGCAUGGUGGUCUCCCAGUGGGGAGGGAGUCUUGGAGAGUAUGAAGGGUAAACUGAGACCCAGAGAGGGGCAGGGACUUGCCCAAAGUUGUUAAGCAGUUUGUGGCCAAAAUGGAAUGAAAAGCCAUGGUGUUCAGCUUGCAGUUGGAGGCUCUCUUUGUUAAUAAUACCUAUCCCUGCCCAAGCACAGACACCUGAAGGCUUUUUAAUAUAUUUCAUUGCUAACUGUAUGAUAAUCUCAUGAGGCUGAUACAACUAAUAUUCCCAUUCUACUAAUGAGGAAAUUGAGGCUUGCAGAGAUUCAGCCACUGGACAGGGUAGAAAGUGACAAUCUGGGAUUGGAAAGGUGGUCUGUCUUAUGCUGAACCCUUAAUUGCUGUGACUCAGUGGGAGGUCAGAGGCACCAGGACUCCAGAUCGCUCCAAAACAUCCCUCCUGGCCAAGGCUAUAGUGUCAGCAUGACCUCAGUUUGUGAUGGCUUCCUGGGGGUAAGCAUUGCCACUUACUUGUGUCCUCCAUGGGAAGGAGCACACAGAGUUUUAGCCCUUCGCAGAAAGACUGACUUCAAAGCACCCUCAGCCAUCCCAGGCAUCUGAAAGGAGACCCCUGAGGAGGGGACCUCGAAUGUUGGAAGGAAAUUUAUGAAUGAAGAGGUUCGGAAUCUCUGGGCACAAGAUCCACCUCUUUGGGGGAAGCCAGUGGCGUCUUCUGUGUAAAGCUGCCAUUGGCAGGACAACUUUCUCUAGGAGAGGCAGAAGCUGGGGGUGGUGGUGGGGUUAAACCAACCUUGCACAUUGGUGGGAGGGGGCAUGGGGUCAGUGUGUGAAUAACAGCCUCUGCUUUUCUGCAUCAGCCAAACAACAAUAGAGUGGGAAUGGCAACCUGUAUUGAGGGUUCACCAUGUGCUAAGCCCUUUCUUUAUGUGUAGAAGCUCAUUUAGUCCUCAAGACCAUUUUAUGGGGUCAGUAUCUAUGAGGUCAGCAUCGUUAUGUCCUUUUUGCAAAGGAAGAAAAUGAGACGCAGAAAAGAAGACAUUUAAGCCAUUUACCCAGGACGCUGCUGCUGGGGUGAGUGUAAAGGAGCUGGGAUUUGAAAUCCAGGCUUCAUAAACCACGUGGCCUCUAGGAUAUUGUGGCUAGGAUUCCCUUCUCUGUUCAACUUGAAGUCCCUCUCGGCAGAGUGGUGUCCUUUUUCUCUGCCCAUAGUGGCCCAUUCCCGGGGUUGUGAUCCAUGCACGGGCAUCCCCAGAAGGAGGCUUAGAAGCUCCUUGAAGCAGCUUAAAUGCACCUUUGCCGUUGUGCCUCUACAUGCCCUCUUCCUUUUCUGAGAACAACCAACUUCCUCAGGCCUUCGAAUCAUCUCUCAUUUGGAAUAAUCACUGUCUGAAUGGACGAGGUCUCCAGCAUUUGUGUGGUGCGGCGCGGGCCUCCCAGGAUCCUCCCUGCAGAAAAACGAAACGAAGAGAGAUUUAUCUCCUGGGUCAGAUAAAGGUGACUAAAUGCAAACUGGCCGAUUCCUUUCGGCAAACAGUUCCCUGGGGAGGGCUCCUACAAGGAGGAGAAGAGCCAAUCGAUCCCGGAAAUGCUUCGAGGUGACUUACAGGGAAGACUUAAAGGAAAAAGCCCUCGUGUCUUUACAGCCUCCGGCGACUCUUUCAGCCUUGUAAAACUGCCCGUACCAGCCCAUAGAGCGAGGAAGGAGGGGGUCGGGGGAGCUUCUUCCUUACCAUUGCUGCAAAGGUGGAACUCUGCAAAAUUUGACCUCUGAGAUCUCUAGCUGAGUCCUUCAUUCAUCUGUCAAGCAUCUAUUGAGUGCCUACUGUGUGCCUGCUGUGCACUUCGUAUGCUCUAUCCUGCUGAGUCCUCCAGAUGACACCAUCAUUACCCCCAUUUUCUAGCAGAGAAACUGAGGGUAUCUGAAGGGAGGCAAACGUUUCUGGAGUCCUAAAGCAAGCAAGAGGGUAGGUCCUGAGAUACGGAUUUGCAUUCACCAGCCUCCCUGGUUUGGUUUCCUUCCUGCAUCACUCCCUCUGUCAUCAGAUCUGGUUCUCACCCAGCUUCAUCUCCAAGUCUGGCUCAGGCUUGUUCUUCUCUAUCUCUCUUCCUUUCUCCUUUCUGCUCUUAGACUCAUAAGAAACCUUCCUUAUAAUCUGAGGAAACAGCCUGUGCAUCUUGGAGACUGAGUUUCUUUUGGGAUCCCCAGGUUCACACCAGCCUUUUCUCCCAUAGUCAUCCCGCCCUCAUUUCAUUAAGGUACCAGUAGCACCAGCUGGGAAGGGUAACUUGGCUUGCGGUCUGCAAACUUAUUCUGGCCCUGCAAAAGGCCAAAUAGUAAAUACUUUAAGUUUUGUGGUGCAUUGCGCUAUUGGGGUGCCAAGACAAUAUGUAAAUGAAUGGGCAUAGCUGUGUUCCAAUAAAACUUUAUUUACAAACACAGGUGGUUGGCGAGAUUUGGCCCAUAGGUUGUCAUUUGUUGAUCCUUGGGAUAGAGGAUAAAAGAUCUGGUUUUGGGGUUUGCAGACCUGAGGUCUCCCCGCAGCCCACUUUUUUUUUUUUUUUACUUCCUUGCUGUGUUACCUUGGGCAAGUUGGUGCAGCUCUCUGAGCCCCGUUUCUUUUCUGUGGAAUGAGAUAAUUAUAGCACCUGCCGCCUGGGCUUUUGCUAAGUUUAAAUGAAACCAUGCAGUGGAUUGCACAUAGUCAGUGAGCAAACUGGUAGCUGUUAUUUUAUGACGAAUGACUUUAAACCUUCUGAGGAAAGCAACCCCCCUUCCCUCAUUUGGGGGUAAGGGAAGCUGAUGUGCCAGUGUUCUGAUAUUUUGUGGUUCAUUAUGCUGUUAAGAUUUCCAUUCUUUUCAAGUUAAUGCACUUGCAUUUUAAUGACUUAGGAUGCAGAAUCUGCCUCCUUUGGGAUGGAACCAGCUGGCUGGCCUUUUGUGAGGGUGAUAGUUGGUAAAACUCUGGACACCCCCAUGAUCCCUUUGAGUCUAACCUCUGGUUCCCUUUCCUGGCUCCAGAAGGACUGACUCAGUGGGUCUAGCAUGACCACCAGUGAUCCUCUGGUUGAGAGCUGAUCACAAGUGGCCAAUUAAUCUAUUACUUGCAGAUACAUUUUCCAUUAGCAGUGGCGGAAUCAAUUAGUCAGCGUAAUGAACUUGAGUCUGGGCAAACAGGAAGGAGAGGUUAACCCCUUGGUUUCCAAAGGAGGCUGGGAUGGCAAGGGAGCGUGGAGAAGAUCUGGAGAGAAAUCGAGAGGCUGGAUAGGGACAGAGGUUUGGGAACCACAGUCAAGCUUCCAGGUAGUAAGAUGAGGUAGGUUGGACCCAAAGAGCUCUAGCUUAGAGCCAGGAAAAAAUGGCUUCUCUAGUCAUGUGGACAUGACAGAGUCAUUUUGAGCUCAGUUUCCUCCUCUGCAAAUGGGGAUCAUAAUUGUACACACCUCAUAGGAUUGUUGUGAGGAACAAAUAAGACAAGUUGUAUGAAAUACAUAGCCCCAUGUUGGGAGCGGAAAUUCUCAGUGAAUGCUAAUCUUUCUGCUACCCCUUUUUUUCUGCCUCACCACAAGCCACGAAGAGGUGAAAAAGAGACUUCUUGACUUAGAGCUAAAAAUAGCAGAAACUUCUUACUAAAAUUACUCUAGCUCAGAUCCACAUUCAAAUGUGUUACAGAGGUCAGGACUCCAACAGGUGCCUUUACUGCAGGCCUUGUCAGGGACUUAAACUUCUGACAUGUAUCGUGACGCUCCACAAAGGAUUGGAGCAAAUUUCCCAGACGUAUUAGAAUGAAACAACAUUCUUUUCCCAUCUCAGAGCAUUGCACAGGACUGUGAGUUUUAUUGUUAAAAUGGUAGGAAACGAUGCAUUCCCCAAAUGCAUCGUUUGGGGACCUCUGGUCCCCAAAGGUGGACCAGAUAGAGUCCACCUUCUCCCAAAGCCCUCCCUGUCUAUGCAAGCAACUUUCUCACUCUUAUCAGUGUUGUUAUAUCACGUUGGUGCAAAAGAAAUUGCAGUUCUUGCCAUUACUUUCCAUGGCAAAAACCGCAAUUACUUUUGCACCAACAUAAUAGACUUGAAUUAGGGUCUAGUUACCUGGUGCAGUAAGACCAGAUAUCCACACGGAGGUCUUGCAGUGGUGGAAAGAAAGGUGUUUAUUUACCAGGUGCCAAGCAAGGAGGACCAGACGGCUAACGCUUAUAUCCUGACCUCCCGAUGGCUUGCAGGUAAGUGUUUUUAAACGCAGGGGUAAAUGUCGGGAGAAGCUAUAGGCAAGAUUGUAAAUCCAUACAUGGAGGUUACACCUUGGUCUUGGCCAAAAAGGGCAGGAUACCUUGAAGCAGAGGCUUACAGGUCAUAGGUAGAUUCAAAGACUAUCUGAUUUGUAACUGGUUAAGGAAGAGAAGCUUUGUUUAAAAUUUGGGGUCAGCAGAGAAGAACAUUAACUGGCUUUGGGGUUUGACUCUCUCCAGACUCCUCAGGAAGAAAUUUAGAACAAAAAAUGGGGGUCAGAGUUCAGCCAUCAGCUCCCCCUUAUCUGAGGUUUAGGUGACAGCAGAGCUGUUCAGUGGGGGUCAUUGGUGGGGGUUCAGGGUUCUGGAAAACAACUCAGGGGCAUAUGUUAAGAUGUUACUUUUAGUUUCUAUAGGGGAAUCAAACAUCUGACUAACUUCCUUGGUUCCUGUCUUAGCCUUGUUACUAUUACCCUCUUGCUUAUCAAGCUGCUUUUCUUUUCUUUUUUUAAGACAGGAUCUCACUCUGUCAUCCAGGCUGGAGUGCAGUGGUACUGUCUCAGCUCACUGCAACUUCCACUUCCUGGGUUCAAGCAAUUCUCCCACCUCAGCCUCCCGAGUAGCUGGGAUUACAGGUGCCCGCCACCACGCCCAGCUAGCUUUUGUAUUUUUUAUAGAGAUGGGGUUUCACCAUGUUGGCCAGGCUGCUCUUGAACUCCUGGCCUCAACUGAUCCACCCGCCUCGGCCUCCCAAAGUGCUGGGAUUACAGGCAUGAGCCACCACAUCCAGCCUCAAAUUACUUAUUUACCUCUUAGGGCUAGCUAGGUGCCUGGAAUUUCCCUUGAAGGAACUCGGAAUUUUCCUCUAUUUCCAUUCUUGGUGGCAGGGGCAUGCAGACCGCCAAAAGGGGGUCCUGCUCCGUCUCAGUGUGUUCCUGUCACAGACUGAAGGCCACACUGAGAAACUGAGUGUAGUGAGCCAGACGUGGUGAGAAACGAAAUCACAGAGGACAUGGGGGCACAGGGCCUUGGAGACUCUCACAGGUACUCUGGACGUCAUACAAACAGGCCAUCAGAGGUUUCUGUGCAGGGGAAGGAGAUACUAGGUCUUAAACAGGCCCCUCUGCUCAUCCACGUUAUAGUGUACAUCAGAACUCCACUCUUUUUAAAAAAUUUUUUAAAUUUUUUAUUUUUUUGUUUUUUGAGAUGGAGCUUCACUCUUGUUGCCCAGGCUGGAGUGCAAUGAUACAAUCUCGGCUCACUGCAACCUCUGCCUCCUGGGUUCAAGCGAUUCUCCUGCCUCAGCCUCCCUACUAACUGGGAUUACAGGCAUUCACCACCACACCUGGCUAAUUUUGUAUUUUUAGUAGAGAUGGGGUUUUGCUAUGUUGGUCAGGGUGGUCUUGAACUCCUGACCUCAGGUCAUCCGCCCACCUCAGCCUCCCAAAGUCCUGGGAUUACAGGCAUAAGCCACCGCGCCUGGCCUUUAAUUUUUUUUUAAGUUCUGGGUACAUGUGCAGGGUGUGCAGACUCGUUGCAUAGGUAAACGUGUGCCAUGGUGGUUUGCUGCACCUAUCAACUCAUCACCUAGGUAUUAAGCCCAGCAUGCGUUAGUUCUUUUCCCUAAUGCUCUCCCCCACCCCGCCCUUCCCCAACAGGCCGCGGGAAAUGUUGUUCUCCUCCCUGUGCCCAUGUGUUCUCAUUGUUCAGCUCCCACGUAUAAGUGAGAACAUGUAGUGUUUCGUUUUCUGUUCCUGCAUUAUUUUGCUGAGGAUAAUGGCUUCCUCUUUAUCUAGUCUACCAUUGAUGGGCAUUUGGGUUGAUUUCAUGUCUUUGCUAUGUAAGUAGUGCUGCAAUGAACAUACGCGUGCAUGUAUCUUUAUAAUAGAAUGAUUUAUAUUCCUUUUUGUAUAUAUUCAGUAAUGGCAUUGCUGGAUCAAAUGGUAUUUCCGGUUCUAAAUUUUUGAGGAAUUGCCACACUGUCUUCCACAAUGGUUGAACUAAUUUACCUUCCCACCAACAGUGUAAAAGCGUUCCUAUUUCUCCGCAACCUCACCAGCAUCUGUUGUUUCUUGACUUUUGAAUACAUGCAGCCAAACAUACGAAAAAUAGCUCAACAUCACUGAUCAUUAGAGAAAUGCAAAUCAAAACCACAACGAGAUACCAUCUCAUGCCAGUCAGAAUGGUGAGAACUCCUCUCCUUUUUAAGACUGAGUAAUGUCCCCUUGUGUGGGUAUACCACAGUCUGUUCAUCCCUUCACUCACUGACGGACAUGUGGGUUGUUUCCAGCUUUCGGCCGUUGUGAAUAGUGCUGCUGUGAACAUGGGUGUACACAUGUUUGUUUGAGUCCCUGUUUUCAGUUCUUUGGGGUAUAUACCUAGAAGUGGGAUUGCUGGGUCAUGUGAAUUUCACUUCCAUUAAUAAUAAUAAUAAAAGCUUCCUCUGGCUAUAGGGGCCACAAAGAGGAGGCCCAACCAGCACACCCCUGAGCAAGCUGGCAUUAAAAUCCCAUCUCCCAGUUGCCUAACUGGAAGUCACCCUGAAAGGAGCAAACACACUCCCUGGGGCAGGAACUUUCUAGUCUUGGCUGAAAUGUGCUCCAUCCCAAGUGCCCAUCCACCCUCAUCCUCCAGACACUGGCAGGCAGCCGCCCCGAGAGGAUUGGAUGUUCCCCGUGCUGCGGUGGCAGUAGGAACAGGCCGUUCAUCAGUGUCUCGGGGUCUGGAAAGCCAGUCUGCACCUCCGUGUCACCGCCACCCCCUGCCAGGGAGUGUGUGUGGUGUAUGUAUUAGCAGGUAAACUGCCCCCCAUAAUGGAGAUGGAUGGGAGCCCAAUUUUGUAACAGAGAACCUUUCAUUAAGAAAACCACUGCCUUUGGAUGAUCUAGAGGCACUCACAGGCUGGCCCCAGCCUGGGACUUAAUUAUCUUACCACUAAUGAGCUGCAGUUACCAGCUUGUUGGGGCAUCUCAGCAACAACAACCGCCUGGCCUUGGGCUCCUUUUCCCCACUGUGGGCCUCGGGUGACAUGGGUAGAGAUUGUAGAGGAUGCGCCAGCUGGGAAGGUCACCAUGAGAAUCACUUCCUAAGAAUGGUCUCUGUCUUCCUGAAGUUCAACAGAGGUGUCUGCAGCAGGAGAGAGGAAAGUAGACAGGUGGAAGUACUUUCUGAUGAGGUGGCCUGGAAAAUGCUUACAUGGGGGCCCUGAGCCUUAACUAUGUCUGUGUCCAUCUCUAGGCCCUAGUAUCCUCCUAGGGUGGAACCACGACGAGAGAGGCCUGGGUUAGGUGAGAAAGGCAGGGAUAGAAAUAUAUUAUAUGCAAGAGUGUCUGUUAUACAGAAGGACUUGUUCUCCUCCCAGCUGUUUGCCUGAUUGAUUCCUGCUGGUCUCAGGGGACGUGCUGCUUCCCCAGGGAGCUCUGCCGAGACUUUACUCUCCACAGUAGAAAACCUCCCUCAUCUCUCCCUGGCACGUCUCCCUGUUUAUAUCCUUUCCAGCUCAUCCUGUCUAUGAUUACCUUGUUUAUUAAUGCAUUUAAUUGUUUACUGUCUGGCUCCCGAGUUUCUGUCCUCUUCAUACCGGCGGGGUCCUCAUCUCUUGCAAACUCUCUACCCUUAGUGCCUAGAAACAUGCUUGGUACAUUGUUGAUGCUCAAUACAUAUUUGUGGAAUGAAAGAAUGAAUGAAUGAACUGUUGAUUAUUUCUGAGAUAUAGAUGUAUUAAUAGCUCAGAGUAGCAUAGUGCCCUUUUUAAAGUUUUUUUUUAAUUGUGGUAAAUUAUACAUAACAUAACCUUUACCAUUUGAAUGUGUAGAGAUUAAAGAGGAUGUGGAGGCUGGGAGGAUCAUCAUGAGGGCCACUUUCUAAGAAUAGCCUCUCUCUCCCUGAAGAUCAAAAGAGGUGACUGCAGCAGGAGAGAGGAAAGUUAGACAGGGGUAAGUACUUUCUGAUGGGAGGACAAAGCCAUCACCAGUGUCCAUCCAUAGAGUUUUUUCAUCUUCCCCAAUGGAUAUUCUAUACCUGUUAAACUCUCACUCCCCAUUUCCCCUGCCCCAGCUCCUAGUAACUUCUAUUCUACUUUCUGUCUCUAUAAAUAUGACUCCUCUAGGGACCUCCUAUAAGUGGAAUCAUGCAAUGCAAAAGUAACUUACUGAGCCUUCUAGUCUGGCGAAGCACCCAGCAUUUUGCCCUGCGUGGAGUCAAUCCGUCAUUUUGUGCCUGAUGUCUCUUACUUGGCAUGAUGUCAUCCAGGUUCACUUGGUUUAGCAUAGGUCGGUACUUUACUCCUUUUUAUGGCAGAGUAAUAUUCCACUGUAUGGAUAAACCACAUUGGGUUUAUCCAUUCAUCCACUGCACAGUGCACUUCUGAGAGAAGACGGGUAGAUGGUGCAAGGUGGGGAAUUAUAUAUUUCUGUUUUGGAAACUUCAGAGUAAGAGAGAGCUUUCCCAUCCAGUCACGUCUCGUGCCUAGUGCUAUGUCCUUUGUGUGCUGGUGACACUAACUUGCUUUACACCUCCAUGCCUUUCCCUAUGCUGUUUCCUGUGCUUGAAGCACCCUUCCCACUGGCCCAUUGUUGGCCUGACAAGUCUCAUGUCGGCUUCAGGGUGAAAACCUCAAUGAAAGUGGAAAUUACAUCUGUUUUAUUCACCUCUGUAUUUCCAGAUCAUUAGAUGCCAUACAUACAGAUAAGCAUGCAUGAGUGAAUAAGUCAUUCCAAGCUACACUCCUCCAGAGGGUCCUCCUUGACUGUACCUCAUGCUAUGGAGCUAAUGCUGGCUGUUUUCGAGUCAGCCACCACACUCAUUGAUUGAUGCUGUGUUUGUCUCUCCUAUUAGACUAUGUGCUCCUUGAGGACAGUGCUUGUGUCUUACUCAUUUUUGUGCCCCUCCCUUGUCCUAUAAUAUACCCAGUGUAGGUAUCUAUUGAAUAAUGCUGAAGGUUGUGCACAGAUGUCAGCUGUUAUUAUCUUCCUUCCCCCUGCCACCCCACCCCAGCUACCUGGCUUCAGGUGGUCUUGUCUUCAUCUCAGCAGGGACUGGGAGCUUAUGCUGUCAGUGACUUGCUGCACAGUGCUAUGAUGUGGAAACCUCCUGCUAUAACUAUCGUAUAACUUCUUACAUCUUUGUGGCACUCAGAUGUUCCUUAGCUUCCUCAAGUCUCCAACAGCCUACUGAUGGUUGACAGAAAAGACUGGCCAGGCGCAGUGGCUCACGCCUAUAAUCCUAGCACUUUGGGAGGCCAA
RNAcentral lists this long non-coding RNA (17225 nucleotides) under Homo sapiens (human). Its description in RNAcentral is "non-protein coding lnc-CRYBA4-52:67". The record is from RNAcentral. Lineage: Eukaryota; Metazoa; Chordata; Mammalia; Primates; Hominidae.